CGCAGAGUGACAGCUACUGAAUCAUAAAUGUGUCAUUUGUGAUGUCGUAAGGGAAAAUAAUGAUACUACCUUACUAUUAGUGUCGUCUAAAACUGGUGCCAGAAGACUCGGUAAGGCCAGAGACACAAACGUUAAUCAUAUUAAACAGGCGUAAAGGGUUUGUAGGCUGCUUCAUACCGCUUCACUCCACUCCAAUUUUUUUGGCUAGUGGCUAGUGAUUAGCGGAUAAACAAUUGAAGCUAGAAUCUAAUAGAGGUUAAUGCAAAUCAUACAAAGAGUAGGGCUUAUAUCCGUAGAUCCUUAGUGGAGAUACUCAUGGCGUAGGCUUUUUAACCAUUAAAGAUUGACGCUGAGAAACGAAGGGGAGGACAGGAAAUAGGAUUAGAUACCCCACUACCCCUCUCUGUAAACGAUGAAUGGUAACCAUUUGUUUAAAUAAAUAAGUGGUGAUGUUAACACGUUAACCAUUCCGCCUUGUGAGUACGACUGCAAAGUUAAAAACAAAAAAAUUAGUCGUCUCGAAGCAAAG
RNAcentral lists this ribosomal RNA (529 nucleotides) under Hyphoderma cremeoalbum. RNAcentral's name for it is "SSU rRNA". It matches the Rfam family "Bacterial small subunit ribosomal RNA", at positions 395 to 934 of the family's 1533-position model. Lineage: Eukaryota; Fungi; Basidiomycota; Agaricomycetes; Polyporales; Hyphodermataceae. The record is from RNAcentral.